GACGAACGCUGGCGGCGUGCCUAAUACAUGCAAGUCGAACGCUGACGGAGGAGCUUGUUUCUCUGGAUGAGUUGCGAACGGGUGAGUAACGCGUAGGUAACCUGCCUGGCAGCGGGGGAUAACUAUUGGAAACGAUAGCUAAUACCGCAUAAUAGUAGAUGUCGCAUGACAUUCGCUUAAAAGUUGCACUUGCAUCACUACCAGAUGGCCCUGCGUUGUAUUAGCUAUUUUGUGAGGUAAGGGCUCACCAAGGCAACGAUACAUAGCCGACUUGAGAGGGUGAACUGCCACAAUGGGACUGGGACACGGCCCAGACCACUACGGGGGGGAGCAGGAGGGGAUCUUUGGAAAAGGACGGAAGGCUGAACGAGGAACGACGGGGGAGGGGAGGAGGGUUUCGGGUCGUAAAGGUCUGUUGUAAGAGAAGGAAGAGUAGGAGAGUUAAAAGUUCACACUGUGACGGUACCUGACCAGAAAGGGACGGCUAACUACGUG
RNAcentral lists this ribosomal RNA (495 nucleotides) under uncultured bacterium. RNAcentral describes it as "partial 16S ribosomal RNA". It matches the Rfam family "Bacterial small subunit ribosomal RNA", at positions 28 to 507 of the family's 1533-position model. The record is from RNAcentral.